ACCUGCAUACCCAAAAGAGGGCUCUGGUUAAAAAACAAUCAUUUUCUUUUUUGCUCUCCCUUAGCAGCGGGAAAGGAGUCUAUCUAUCUGCCUAGCUUUGGUAGAUUUCCCCCAACGCAAUCCACAGAAAUUCCACGAAUCCCUUGGUGGAUAAGUCCGACGACUCAGCAGCAGUGCGGAAUUGAGUUUCUUGUCUGGUGGAUCUGAUCUAUAGUUAGGGGGCAAUACAUACCAAAAGGUUCGAAGAAGGAAGGCUUCUUGGUGGAUAAGUCCGACGAUUCAGCAGCAGUGUGGAGUUGAAUUUCUUGUCUGGUGGAUCUGAUCUAUAGUUAAGGGGCAAUACAUACCAAAAGGUUCGAAGAAGGAAGGCGCAUAAGAGUAUAUAACUAACCUAUUCUUCUGUAUAACCUAUUCACAUUAGUGUAACCCAUAUAAGGGGAAUGUGAUUUUGUGGAGUUGAAAUUUGCAACCAUUAAGUCCAUAAAGGGAUUGC
This 493-nucleotide long non-coding RNA is filed under the name Nicotiana benthamiana. Its description in RNAcentral is "long non-coding RNA (NBEN_LNC013262)". The record is from RNAcentral. Lineage: Eukaryota; Viridiplantae; Streptophyta; Magnoliopsida; Solanales; Solanaceae.